AGGGGAGAUACUGGAGUACACUGCAGUGCUGAAGAACAUUGCAGGUACAGUGUUUGAAGCUUCUUGGUGCAAGAUUCAGUGCUGCUACAAAAACUUUGUGAGCAAGGCACAAGCCACCCUGCCCAGAGACCAAGAACUGGGUGCUGACAGCCGUUCCUGGGAGGCUUUUGGAGGUGUGAUGCCUGGGUCCAGAGUUUUCUUCUGCAGAUUCUUCUCUCCCUGCAAGGAAGUGGAGAGAGACUGGCCUUGGCGCUGA
Molecule: long non-coding RNA, 256 nt
Filed under: Canis lupus familiaris (dog)
Lineage: Eukaryota; Metazoa; Chordata; Mammalia; Carnivora; Canidae
Description: lncRNA (ENSCAFG00000054727.1)
Source: RNAcentral